AGAGAAUGACAUUUGAUCGAGAGUCUGAGAGCAACUACGUAUAGUAGAAGAGCCACAAUUUAGCGUAGUGUCUCCUCUCCUCUUGUUUUGCUUUUAUCUUUAUUAAUUUAUUUUUCUAUGCUAUUCGAAUUCUUCUGUCUUCAUUAGAGGAAAAAAAUAACAAAAUUUUCGUAGCGAAACCAUCAAGAAAAUUAACUAUUAUAUAACCUGC
This 211-nucleotide long non-coding RNA is filed under the name Brassica rapa (field mustard). RNAcentral describes it as "long non-coding RNA (BRAP_LNC000362)". Lineage: Eukaryota; Viridiplantae; Streptophyta; Magnoliopsida; Brassicales; Brassicaceae. The record is from RNAcentral.